AUUGAACGCUGGCGGCAGGCCUAACACAUGCAAGUCGAACGAGUGGCGGACGGGUGAGUAAUGUCUGGGAAACUGCCCGAUGGAGGGGGAUAACUACUGGAAACGGUAGCUAAUACCGCAUACCAUCGGAUGUGCCCAUAUGGGAUUAGCUUGUAGGUGGGGUAACGGCUCACCUAGGCGACGAUCCCUAGCUGGUCUGAGAGGAUGACCAGCCACACUGGAACUGAGACACGGCCCAGACUCCUACGGGAGGCAGCAGUGGGGAAUAUUGCACAAUGGGCGCAAGCCUGAUGCAGCAAUGCCGCGUGUAUGAAGAAGGCCUUAGGGUUGGAAAGUACUUUCAGCGGGGAGGCGUUACUCGCAGAAGAAGCACCGGCUAACUCCGUGCCAGCAGCCGCGGUAAUAC
Molecule: ribosomal RNA, 406 nt
Filed under: uncultured bacterium
Lineage: Bacteria
Description: partial 16S ribosomal RNA
Rfam family: Bacterial small subunit ribosomal RNA
Source: RNAcentral